UUGCUAGCUUGCUAAUAAUUCUCUAGUGGCGCACGGGUGAGUAACACGUGAGUAACCUGCCCCCAAGAGUGGGAUAGCCCCGGGAAACUGGGAUUAAUACCGCAUAAAAUCGCAAGAUUAAAGCAGCAAUGCGCUUGGGGAUGGGCUCGCGUCCUAUUAGUUAGUUGGUGAGGUAACGGCUCACCAAGGCGAUGACGGGUAGCCGGUCUGAGAGGAUGUCCGGCCACACUGGAACUGAGACACGGUCCGGACACCUACGGGUGGCAGCAGUCGAGAAUCAUUCACAAUGGGGGAAACCCUGAUGGUGCGACGCCGCGUGGGGGAAUGAAGGUCUUCGGAUUGUAAACCCCUGUCAUGUGGGAGCAAAUUAAAAAGAUAGUACCACAAGAGGAAGAGACGGCUAACUCUGUGCCAGCAGCCGCGGUAAUACAGAGGUCUCAAGCGUUGUUCGGAAUCACUGGGCGUAAAGCGUGCGUAGGCGGUUUCGUAAGUCGUGUGUGAAAGGCGGGGGCUCAACCCCCGGACUGCACAUGAUACUGCGAGACUAGAGUAAUGGAGGGGGAACCGGAAUUCUCGGUGUAGCAGUGAAAUGCGUAGAUAUCGAGAGGAACACUCGUGGCGAAGGCGGGUUCCUGGACAUUAACUGACGCUGAGGCACGAAGGCCAGGGGAGCGAAAGGGAUUAGAUACCCCUGUAGUCCUGGCAGUAAA
RNAcentral lists this ribosomal RNA (710 nucleotides) under uncultured bacterium. RNAcentral's name for it is "bacterial SSU rRNA". It matches the Rfam family "Bacterial small subunit ribosomal RNA", at positions 72 to 806 of the family's 1533-position model. The record is from RNAcentral.